RNAcentral lists this ribosomal RNA (746 nucleotides) under Campylobacter jejuni. RNAcentral describes it as "bacterial SSU rRNA". It matches the Rfam family "Bacterial small subunit ribosomal RNA", at positions 465 to 1213 of the family's 1533-position model. The record is from RNAcentral. Lineage: Bacteria; Pseudomonadati; Campylobacterota; Epsilonproteobacteria; Campylobacterales; Campylobacteraceae.
AGAAUAGGCAGGUGACUAGGAAUAGCAGCGGCUACGUCGUGCAGCAGGCGGGGUAAUACGAUGUACAGCGUUACUCGAAUCACUGGGCGUAAUGGCGCGUAGGCCGAAUAUCAAGUCUCUGUGUAAUCUAAUGGCUUAACCAUUAAACUGCUUGGGAAACUGAUAGUCUAGAGUGAGGGAGAGGCAGAUGGAAUGGGUGGUGUAGUGGGUAAAAUCCGUAGAUAUCACCAAGAAUACCCAUUGCGAAGGCGAUCUGCUGGAACUCCACCUGACGCUAAGGCGCGAAAGCGUGGGGAGCAAACAAGGAUUAGAUACCCUGGUAGUCCACGCCCUAAACGAUGUACACUAGUUGUUGGGGUGCUAGUCAUCUCAGUAAUGCAGCUAACGCAUUAAGUGUACCGCCUGGGGAGUACGGUCGCAAGAUUAAAACUCAAAGGAAUAGACGGGGACCCGCACAAGCGGUGGAGCAUGUGGUUUAAUUCGAAGAUACGCGAAGAACCUUACCUGGGCUUGAUAUCCUAAGAACCUUUUAGAGAUAAGAGGGUGCUAGCUUGCUAGAACUUAGAGACAGGUGCUGCACGGCUGUCGUCAGCUCGUGUCGUGAGAUGUUGGGUUAAGUCCCGCAACGAGCGCAACCCACGUAUUUAGUUGCUAACGGUUCGGCCGAGCACUCUAAAUAGACUGCCUUCGUAAGGAGGAGGAAGGUGUGGACGACGUCAGCAUCAUGCCUUCGAUCCUUCUUAAGU